AGUGAACGCUGGCGGCAGGCCUAAUGCAUGCAAGUCGAACGGCAGCACAGCAGAGCUUGCUCUGUGGGUGGCGAGUGGCGGACGGGUGAGGAAUACAUGGGAAUCUGCCCAGUCGUGGGGGAUAACGUAGGGAAACUUACGCUAAUACCGCAUGCGCCCUUCGGGGGAAAGCCGGGGACCUUCGGGCCUGGCGCGAUUGGAUGAGCCCAUGUCGGAUUAGCUAGUUGGCGGGGUAAUGGCCCACCAAGGCGACGAUCCGUAGCUGGUCUGAGAGGAUGAUCAGCCACACUGGAACUGAGACACGGUCCAGACUCCUACGGGAGGCAGCAGUAGGGAAUAUUGGACAAUGGGCGCAAGCCUGAUCCAGCCAUGCCGCGUGAGUGAAGAAGGCCCUCGGGUUGUAAAGCUCUUUUGUCCGGAAAGAAAA
Molecule: ribosomal RNA, 427 nt
Filed under: uncultured bacterium
Lineage: Bacteria
Description: bacterial SSU rRNA
Rfam family: Bacterial small subunit ribosomal RNA
Source: RNAcentral